AGUGAACGCUGGCGGUAGGCCUAACACAUGCAAGUCGAACGGCAGCACAGUAAGAGCUUGCUCUUACGGGUGGCGAGUGGCGGACGGGUGAGGAAUACAUCGGAAUCUACUUUUUCGUGGGGGAUAACGUAGGGAAACUUACGCUAAUACCGCAUACGACCUACGGGUGAAAGCAGGGGAUCUUCGGACCUUGCGCGAUUGAAUGAGCCGAUGUCGGAUUAGCUAGUUGGCGGGGUAAAGGCCCACCAAGGCGACGAUCCGUAGCUGGUCUGAGAGGAUGAUCAGCCACACUGGAACUGAGACACGGUCCAGACUCCUACGGGAGGCAGCAGUGGGGAAGAGUGGACGAUGGGCGCAAGCCUGAUCCAGCCAUACCGCGGUGGUGAAGAAGGCCGUCGGGUUGGAAAGCCCUUUUGUUGGGAAAGAAAAGCAGCAGGUUAAGACCCCGCUGUUCUGACGGUACCCAAAGAAUAAGCACCGGCUAACUUCGUG
RNAcentral lists this ribosomal RNA (492 nucleotides) under uncultured bacterium. RNAcentral's name for it is "partial 16S ribosomal RNA". It matches the Rfam family "Bacterial small subunit ribosomal RNA", at positions 29 to 507 of the family's 1533-position model. The record is from RNAcentral.